This 440-nucleotide ribosomal RNA is filed under the name uncultured bacterium. Its description in RNAcentral is "partial 16S ribosomal RNA". It matches the Rfam family "Bacterial small subunit ribosomal RNA", at positions 338 to 795 of the family's 1533-position model. The record is from RNAcentral.
CCUACGGGUGGCAGCAGUAGGGAAUAUUGCUCAAUGGGGGAAACCCUGAAGCAGCAACGCCGCGUGGAGGAUGAAGGUUUUCGGAUUGUAAACUCCUUUUGUUAGAGAAGAUAAUGACGGUAUCUAACGAAUAAGCACCGGCUAACUCCGUGCCAGCAGCCGGGGGAAUACGGAGGGUGCAAGGGUUAUCCGGAAUCACUGGGCGUAAAGAGCGCGUAGGCGGGAUAGCAAGUCAGAUGGGAAAUCCUAGGGCUUAACCAUAGAACUGCAGUUGAAACUGUUAUUCUAGAGUAUGGGAGAGGUAGGUGGAAUGCUUGGUGUAGGGGUAAAAUCCGUAGAGAUCAAGAAGAAUACUCAUUGCGAAGGCGGCCUGCUAGAACAUAACUGACGCUGAUGCGCGAAAGCGUGGGGAGCAAACAGGAUUAGAUACCCGUGUAGUC